RNAcentral lists this ribosomal RNA (253 nucleotides) under uncultured bacterium. RNAcentral describes it as "partial 16S ribosomal RNA". It matches the Rfam family "Bacterial small subunit ribosomal RNA", at positions 524 to 776 of the family's 1533-position model. The record is from RNAcentral.
UACGUAGGGUGCAGGCGUUAAUCGGAAUUACUGGGCGUAAAGCGUGCGCAGGCGGUUUCUUAAGUCAGAUGUGAAAGCCCCGGGCUUAACCUGGGAACUGCGUUUGAAACUGGGAGACUCGAGUGUGGCAGAGGGGGGUGGAAUUCCACGUGUAGCAGUGAAAUGCGUAGAUAUGUGGAGGAACACCAAUUGCGAAGGCAGCUCGCUGGGACGUAACUGACGCUGAGACGCGAAAGCGUGGGGAGCAAACAGG